CAGCAUAAGAGAGAUGCCCUUCCGGUGGCGAUGCAGAUCGAGGCGAAGCGGCCGAUCGAUAGGGAUCCUCUCAGACGCGCCAAGCAGAGGCGAUUCAUCGCAGCUGAUGUGGCAGGUCAAGGCGAAGCGUCGCUGCGACCGCCGCUGUCGAUUGAAGUCUCUCCGGCCUCCGCUGAAAUUAAUGGAGGUCAGUUUCUGUUUCGCCAGCCUUUGAGUUUGUGCACAUGUAUAUAUGUUCGUCGCCUGCGCUCUCCCAUCUCACUUCAUAUUCCGGCAGCAUCACGUGGAGCACCUAUGCUUAUCGGUUAGGUUUCCUAUAUCUUCAUCUUUGAUGCAAAUUCCCCUCCUCUUCCCCCUCCCCUACAAUCCCCUCUUCAACCCUAUGAUUUCACUGUGUUAAUGUCUUUCCCAAUCACAGUUUUCAACAGAUAGUGGUCAACCAAUAUUGGAAAAUUUUGUAGGCUUAUAUAUUGCUCCAUGGAAUUCUUAACCUCAAAAUUUGCGAUGGCUGCCAGCCAGAUAAUUAGUUCCAGUGUACUGCCAUAUCUCAUAUGUUCAUGCUUUGUUAUCCAUAAAUUUAGGGCAUUUAAUGUCAUUCAUGGCAUGGUAUUCCUUUUACUGUAUACGAUAGGUUUCUUAGAACAAUAUAGUGAAAUGCAAAAAAGAGUGUAAUCAAUCUGUCCUAGAUGGAGGCAAAACCAGAACAUGUUCUGGUUCUGUCCAUAUGUGAUCAUAUUUAACAUACGACAAGUUGCAUUGUUCUUGUUGCUAGAGCUUUCAAGAGGUGACACAGGCCCUGCAGCACUACAGAUUGUGCAACCGUCUUAGAUGGCCACUAUAGCUCAGGGCCUCAUUGGCAGUUCACAAAGAGCAAUAGCUUCUCAUCCAUUAGUGUUGCUGAAAGAGCAUGAACCUUGCCCAUCUUUUUUUAGGCUUAAGGGUUAAGGCAGGCGCUCUCUCUGCCACUCGAUUAGAUUAGUAAGCAAAAUUAUUUACAUGGGGAUCAGAAAGGAGAUCAGAGAAAAGAAAAGGUCGAGGCCAAGGGCCAGCAAAAAAAGAUCACACAUACAGAGGUUUCUUCUCCUUUUAAGAUCGAUUGCCAGCUUCUUAGCUCUCUUAUAAUAUUGUGAACUGGUAAUAUCUCGCUCAACACCAAUAUUUUGUGUUGUCCAGUGUUCAGCAUUGCAGGGAAUAAUGAACUUGAGAAGGCUGAGCAGCAACCGGCAGUUAAAGCUCUCAAAGAUAGGCUGAUAACAAAGAUUAUUAUUGUUCCUUCAAUUUACUUGCUUCGUCUUUAGUAGCUUUACUAGCUCUUUAUUGUUUUGGUUGUUAAUAUGUUCUGUUAAAAAAUAUUGACCUUGUUUAUGCAGGUUAAAGAAAUUACAGAAAAAGCUUUGAAAAUCAUUAACAACUAGGCUUGACGCCAAAAGGGUAGGAUCCUUCACAAAAUAUCUCCUACUGGUUAGUGAGGUGAAGGAUGUGUUGUACUCUGAAGAAAUCGUCUUGGGGUCAACCACAUGCCAGACUCUGAUUGACGUUCAAAGUGGAGGACCUCCAGAACUAGGCCCAGCAAUUUGAAAGUUGAAACCUAAGACCUCACUUCACCGAAAAUAGCUUCAGCCCGGAGGAAGGCUGCGGGAUCAUCAGAAAUCCAAACGCAGUUAACAACUAACUCGACUCCAGUCGAUGAUGACAAUGUGAUAAACUACUACACCCUCAUGAAGGAAGUGUGACAGAAUCAUAACCAGGGACAUCCAGUUGGCAUCACAAUCCAUUUUGCAAGCCACAAAUGGCAGCUUAUGUGUGCUCAACUAUAAUACUGAGAUUGGUGUGCUGUUAUAUGAAUGUCUACUACCUUAAUAGAGUUUGUGAGAGUUUAUAACGUCUUGACAUUGUAUAAUCCUUAAUGGUUGUAAAGAGUUGUGUGUACUCAG
Long non-coding RNA from Triticum dicoccoides, 1934 nucleotides. RefSeq lists it as uncharacterized. The record is from RefSeq and is a predicted model, not a curated record. Lineage: Eukaryota; Viridiplantae; Streptophyta; Magnoliopsida; Poales; Poaceae. The transcript is spliced from 3 exons.